This 68-nucleotide transfer RNA is filed under the name bovine gut metagenome. It matches the Rfam family "tRNA". Rfam says of the family: Transfer RNA (tRNA) molecules are approximately 80 nucleotides in length. The record is from RNAcentral.
CAGGUGUAGUUCAAUGGUAGAACUUCAGCCUUCCAAGCUGAAUACGCGGGUUCGAUUCCCGUCACCUG